This 305-nucleotide ribosomal RNA is filed under the name uncultured bacterium. Its description in RNAcentral is "bacterial SSU rRNA". It matches the Rfam family "Bacterial small subunit ribosomal RNA", at positions 334 to 637 of the family's 1533-position model. The record is from RNAcentral.
AAGGCCUACGGGGCGCAGCAGUGAGGAAUAUUGGUCAAUGGGCUUACGCCUGAACCAGCCAAGUCGCGUGAGGGAAGACGGCCCUACGGGUUGUAAACCUCUUUUGUCGGGGAGCAAAGCGAGUCACGUGUGACUCAUUGAGAGUACCCGAAGAAAAAGCAUCGGCUAACUCCGUGCCAGCAGCCGCGGUAAUACGGAGGAUGCGAGCGUUAUCCGGAUUUAUUGGGUUUAAAGGGUGCGCAGGCGGAGGUGCAAGUCAGCGGUCAAAUUGCGGGGCUCAACCCCGUACUGCCGUUGCAACUGCA